Ornithorhynchus anatinus (platypus) is the source of this 474-nucleotide long non-coding RNA. RefSeq lists it as uncharacterized. The record is from RefSeq and is a predicted model, not a curated record. Lineage: Eukaryota; Metazoa; Chordata; Mammalia; Monotremata; Ornithorhynchidae. The transcript has 3 exons.
CACACAGCCAACAAGUGGCGGAGCUGGGAUUAGAACCCAUGACCUUCUGACUCCCAAGCCCGUGCUCCAUCCGCUCUGCCGUGCUGCUAGUUAGGAGCUGUUCCAGAACCAGCCCCGACAUGAUGGCGGAGGACUCCAGGUAUCCUAUAAUAUUUAUCAGCAUCAGUAGGAAAAGACACCUGAUUUUCGACUAGACAAAGCUUUUUGGAGAAGGUUUAUCCUCUGUAAACCUCACUUUGAACAUACCCAAGAGCUGCAAGAUAAAAUGGAAACAACCUGAGAAAUUAGUCUUCAGUGCCUGAGCUAUUUGUUCCAGGUCCGACAGAUUCGCUGAUGGUUCUGCACCCAGAAUACGAUACCAGUCCUUUUGUGACAUCUGUUCAAAAGUCAGAGAAUGGACUUUUCUUAAAAUAUCCGAAUGAAAAUUUAUGGUAUUCCAUUAACAUUUGAAUAAAACCAAUGGGAAAAAUGUGA